CUCAAAUGAAUUCUCAACAGUCUACCAUUACAGGAAUAGUCUUCGUUGCACAAGUUACAAACUGGAAUCCCACUGCAUCAUUUUCUGUUCCGAGCAAUAUGUGCCAUGCUCUACUUUAUCCUCAAUCACCUCAUCAGUGCUAUUAUAAUAGGCCGGUGAGUCUCUGCGCUGUUGGGGGUCCCACAUGGCACUAUGGGAGUGCUUUGGCCUGUGGAUUGGAUUACAAUUUAUCCAUAUCAGCAACUGCAGCUUCCUAACAAAGCCUGAGGGACCCUGAGCAAAAUUCAAGCCGGACAGAAUUCACCAAGGACAAUCUUGACAGGAAAGUAGGAUGGCAGACAAAUAUCUAGUUUUAUGACCUCAUGCUCCGACACGUCAACACUUGAGACCUGUCAUCAUCCAAGAGGUCUACAGGGACUAAGUCGAUGGUGCAUUUUGUGUAGAUGUCACAUAAGACUUUCUUUUUCAAGCAUAAAACAAUAGACAGAUAGACAUAUUGCAGCCAUUUUCCACGUUUUAUGGUUCUUGUUCUCUUAUUCUUGUUAUUGGAGAAUAAAGUCAUUGGAUUUUACAGUGAUCAGACGCUGACUGUUACACUUGCCCAAUGACUAUAUUUUUUAUCUACACUGCUAAGAUUAUCUAAAACGAACUAGAUCCACAAAAACCAGCACUGACCAGUAUAGAACAAUAAAAAGCCAGACUAUCAGCUCUGUCAAUGUUUUGUUGUGUUCCUGUAUUUUUUUCCAAUUAUGCACAGGAAUAAAGCAGGGUGGUCUGUCUUUUGGGUUAAAACUCAUACAGCAUACAAGGAAAAGGGGGGGGGGGGGGUAACUUGGGACAGUGGUACAAAGUGGCCACAGCACCUAGCCUACCUUUUCUGAGGGUUUGAGUACACCUGGCAAGACCAAUAAUGUAAUUUCCCACUUUAUUCUACUCAACUGCCGACCCUAAGUUUUCCUUCAGUCGAGAUGGAAAAGAAAAAACCAGGCAUGUCAUUCUCUGAAUCAAUUUCAUCCUUUCAAUAAAACAUAAAAUGUGUAUCUGUGUAAAUGCAUGAAACAUCAAAACACUAUUAAUAAUUCAUAUACCACAUGGUGUCCACAGCUGUGCUAAAUCCACAAUGUUUUUAAAAACGGAAUGGUGUACUUAACAAUAUAUUCAGUCCUAUAAAAUAUCAUGUAAAUUUCAGUUCAGUGUAACUGGAUUUUGUGAUAGCCUACAACCACAUUGUAUUUACAGCAGAUAUAUUUUUAAUACAGAACAGGCAGCUUAUUCACAGAAACAAAAUAUUCAAAGACACUUAGUUUAAACUAAUCACUAAAAUGUAAUGGACUGUACCAAUGCCAAAACUCCAUGAGCAAUUUGUAUUAAUAAAGACUAGACGCAUUUCAUUUAUCUAUAUACAGUUCAUGGUGAAAUAACAAGGCAUAAUGUGUGGUCACAAGUAAAUCAUUUACAUGUGUUCAUGUUAUGACAGAUAUAGUGGUAUAGAUUACAAUGCAGUAUGUGCUUCAGAGUCAUGUUUAUAUAUAUAUAUAUAUAUAUAACAGAAAAACAGAUCCUUUACUGUAGGGGGCAUAUCCUGUCUGGCUCAGAAGACUUCGAAGAAUUUUAAGCUAUUUGCUGCCAUCUUGUGGACACUUUUGAAAACUUCAUUCUGUAUUCUUUGACCUUAAAUCUUCAUACUGAAAGGUCUUUUACUCAAUUUUUGUUCAUGUAACAUAUGUACUGUAACAUGUCAAAGUACACGUCAAAUAUUUCUAAGAUUAAUAAAUCAC
This is a long non-coding RNA of Triplophysa dalaica, 1778 nucleotides long. RefSeq lists it as uncharacterized. The transcript has 3 exons. Lineage: Eukaryota; Metazoa; Chordata; Actinopteri; Cypriniformes; Nemacheilidae. The record is from RefSeq and is a predicted model, not a curated record.